CCCAUUGAUCAAAGUCCCAUAACUAACUUUGUUCAAAUGAAAUCCAAGCGCAACCACCUUAUCAUGAAACUGCAAGGCUUGAUGAAUCUGACCUUUGAGACACAGACCCUUAAUGAGUGUAGUUAAAGUUAUGACAUUUGGCUCAUAACCCAUCUUAAGAAUCUUAGCCAAAACAGAAAAAGAAAGAGGGUUUUGACCCAAUUGAGAAAAACAAUUAAUCAAGAUGCUCAAAAUGACCAAGUCUGAAGUAAUUCCGUUGAAUUCCAUUUGUCGAUGAAGUGAAACAACGGUGGAGUAAUGAUUGGACUUGACAAGGGAACCUAAAAUCUUACCAAAUUGAAAGAUGGAUGGUUUAGGAUUCUUUUGAUGGAGCAAUCGAUUGAAUGAGGAAACAAGAUUGUGUUUGUUGUCAUCAUUUUCAUGGAAUUGAGAGUAUAGCCUUGUUGAGCUUGAAGAAGAAAAGGGUAAUAAACGAAUCAGAAAAUUAGGGUUUGGAAGUUGAAAAUUGGGGAUGAAUAUAGAGACUGAAUAAACAGAUCUCAAAUUUGAAAGCAACAUUGUGGUUUGGUUUGCGUAGAUAACAGUGUUGAGGUUAAUUCUUUGUUUGAAAGAUAUAUACAUAUGGUAUCGGUGGUUAUUUCAUUUCAUUUCAGAUCUCAGAA
Molecule: long non-coding RNA, 662 nt
Filed under: Medicago truncatula (barrel medic)
Lineage: Eukaryota; Viridiplantae; Streptophyta; Magnoliopsida; Fabales; Fabaceae
Description: lncRNA gene37264
Source: RNAcentral